RNAcentral lists this ribosomal RNA (305 nucleotides) under uncultured bacterium. RNAcentral describes it as "bacterial SSU rRNA". It matches the Rfam family "Bacterial small subunit ribosomal RNA", at positions 336 to 639 of the family's 1533-position model. The record is from RNAcentral.
UUCCUACGGGGGGCAGCAGUGAGGAAUAUUGGUCAAUGGGCGGUAGCCUGAACCAGCCAAGUAGCGUGAAGGAUGAAGGUUCUAUGGAUUGUAAACUUCUUUUAUAAAGGAAUAAAGUGAGGCACGUGUGCCUUUUUGUAUGUACUUUAUGAAUAAGGAUCGGCUAACUCCGUGCCAGCAGCCGCGGUAAUACGGAGGAUCCGAGCGUUAUCCGGAUUUAUUGGGUUUAAAGGGUGCGUAGGCGGGCUGUUAAGUCAGCGGUCAAAUGUCGGGGCUCAACCCCGGCCUGCCGUUGAAACUGGCGG